Long non-coding RNA from Suricata suricatta (meerkat), 285 nucleotides. RefSeq lists it as uncharacterized. The record is from RefSeq and is a predicted model, not a curated record. Lineage: Eukaryota; Metazoa; Chordata; Mammalia; Carnivora; Herpestidae. The transcript has 2 exons.
CCUGCGGCUAGGACCUGGAUGCUGCCCAUUCUGGAGUGAGGGGGGCCUUGAAGACCCUCUCUCUCUGGUUCCAGGGUGCUCAUGGCCAGCGGCCUGGAGUGUUGGUGGAACUGGCCGUAGUGUCUGGAUCUGGUGGUGGUGGUAGCAGAGCACCUCUUGGAAGGGUUCCAUGGAAAGCAAGUUGGGGAAGACUAUGCCUGCUUGUUUGCUGCUGGAUUUUCAGCAUCUAAAGCUUUGCCUGACAUUUGACAUCUACCAGGAGUUCAAUAAAUAGUUACUGAAUAA